CUUUCUGCAACUCAGGGAAAAGGUACCUCAGAUAUCUCAACCUUCUGGGUACACCCAUGCAAAUGGCAAUCACAACGUUCACCUGCUUGGUGUAGGAACCCACCCUCUAAGAACCACCCUGAUGACCCUCUAACACGGACCACCAGCGCUGGGUGGGACGUCAGGUGUCAGCUCUUGGCAGUGCCACCAGCUUCAGUCCCUCUGUGGGCCUGCCCGGGGCUGCCCGUGGCACUGAAGCAGCUGCUUCUCGACUGCACGGUAAAAUGUUUGUGGUUUUUCCUGGUUAUUUUUAACACAGAUCAGUUCACUGAUCUUAUUUUCCAUGUGGCCUCGGGGGGUGGCCUGGGGAGAGAUGGUGGUGCUAAAACAAACGGUGUGAGAUGGGAACAAGUGGCUGAAGGUCAAAACUGCUCCCGGCAUGGGCCAGGAGGGCUGCGCCCGGAGCAGUGCUCUCACCCGACACAGGGAUGUCAGUGCCUUUGGGUCCCUGGAGCAUCUGCGUGCAGACCGGGGGCUCCAGCAAUGAGCAGAUGAAGGCUGGUGCAGAGGGACGGGCUGAGACUUUCAGUCUAACCCCCUCGGAGGCUCUGAAAUUACAAACAGCCCAUCAGUUGUGGCACUUGCGUAGAGUGUGGAAAUUCAGACUCUUGUAUGGUCAUGGCUCUUCUUCAGCACUUUCCUUCUUUACAUAUAUGUUAUGAAGGCAGA
This 708-nucleotide long non-coding RNA is filed under the name Falco tinnunculus (common kestrel). Its description in RNAcentral is "lncRNA (ENSFTIG00000001345.1)". The record is from RNAcentral. Lineage: Eukaryota; Metazoa; Chordata; Aves; Falconiformes; Falconidae.